UACAGAGGUCCCAAGCGUUGUUCGGAUUCACUGGGCGUAAAGAGCGCGUAGGCGGUCCGAUAAGUCGGUUGUGAAAACUGGGGGGCUCAACCCUCAGAGGCCGACCGAUACUGUCGGGCUAGAGUCCGGAAGAGGCGAGUGGAAUUCCUGGUGUAGCGGUGAAAUGCGCAGAUAUCAGGAGGAACACCAAUGGCGAAGGCAGCUCGCUGGGGACGGUACUGACGCUGAGGCGCGAAAGCGUGGGGAGCAAACAGG
RNAcentral lists this ribosomal RNA (255 nucleotides) under uncultured bacterium. RNAcentral describes it as "partial 16S ribosomal RNA". It matches the Rfam family "Bacterial small subunit ribosomal RNA", at positions 524 to 776 of the family's 1533-position model. The record is from RNAcentral.